RNAcentral lists this ribosomal RNA (254 nucleotides) under uncultured bacterium. RNAcentral's name for it is "partial 16S ribosomal RNA". It matches the Rfam family "Bacterial small subunit ribosomal RNA", at positions 524 to 776 of the family's 1533-position model. The record is from RNAcentral.
GACGAACCGUGCGAACGUUAUUCGGAAUCAUUGGGCUUAAAGAGCGCGUAGGCGGCGCCGUAAGUUGGACGUGAAAUCCCAUCGGCUCAACCGUGGAAUCGCUCCCAGUACUGCGUUGCUCGAGGGAGAUAGGGGCCUGUGGAACUGCCGGUGGAGCGGUGAAAUGUGUUGAUAUCGGCGGGAACGCCAGUGGCGAAAGCGACAGGCUGGACCUUUUCUGACGCUGAGGCGCGAAAGCUAGGGGAGCAAACGGG